CUGCCAGAAUGUUUGACAGUGGUUAGUCUGUUCUCCUCUUCAAAAUCAGGCAGCUUACUAGAGAGUGACAUCACAGGGGAUGAGACACAUCCGUCUCUACACUCUCUGCUUCUACAACCUGUCCAACGUAUCCCGGAAUACCAUACGCUCCUCCAGAGACUUGUACAGCAGACAGAGUCAGAGCAUCCAGACUAUUACCUGUUACUGGUGUCUGUGCAACAACUCCGAUCUUUCAUGACCCGUUACAGCCAUCUGCUACAGCACAACCAGGAGCUCCUCACACAGUCAUGCCCUGCGAGAACACACACACAACCUGUGCACACACCAGCAGGAGCGGCCCUCACACACCCGAAAAGAGCUUAGCAGGUCUACAGUGAGACAGCUGUAUAAAGUCGACUAUGAGAAAAAUUACAGCAACACCAGUGCACAAAAUGAUCCUUCUCGACGUAACAAACACUACACUGACUAUGAAGCGGCACCCUAUCACUACGACCCAGAAAUCCCGUCCGACUCUGACUCUCGCCACAAAGCCAUCUCAGUUCCUCUGCGCAGCAUUCCAGAGACAGAUGGAGCGGGAUCUGUCCUCUCUGAUGCACUGGGUGUGCUCUUUCCCUACAGAGCUGGAGGCUCUCGCUGCUCAAGCCCGUCUCAUUCCUCUGACUCCAGCAUUGAUAUCGCCUUUGUGCAUUGUAGUCCUUCUCAUAGUCCACCUAGACAGUACCACAGUAGGGGGCGUAGUGCUGGGGGUGUGGUUUAUAGGUCCAACAGAGGCUGCGUGUCACCUGACUCAGCAGAUAUUGUGAGACCACGCCCUCUACAGGCAGUGCAGAGAAAGAGCAAAUCACUAAACGGCCUGCAGCUGGACAGUUUUGAUAUCCACGCCCACCAGACAAAAACUCCCGCCCACCCAAGGCUGGAGCGCCAGUCAAGUGGCAAAUCAAGAAAGAGACCCAGCAGUCCAAAACACAGAUAUGAGACACACACUGACACAGAGGAGCAGCCACGACUAAUAAAUCAAAAGGAUGCUAGAAGCCUGGUGUGGGAGGAGAUCAAAUUGAGGGGUGUGUCUGAUGACUAUGACCACACCCCCUUGAGUGAGCGCAAUAGGAAAGAAGGAAAAGGAUUUAGGAACUCCUUCAAAAAGCUCUUUAAGAAGAAGUGAGUUAAUAAGAGGAGACACACGGCUACUUUGCACGUCCUCACAUUUAAAGCCAUGAUACUUUGUGUGUGUGUGCGUGUCAGGUCUAGUGGGGACGGAAAGGAGAAGACAACAGUGAAAGCUGAGUGUCAAAGCAGUGGAGAGCUGGAGACCACCAAAGCCCCUCACACAGGAGACAUUGACAGAGGAACUUUUACUUUUUUUUACUAAGUGGUUCUCAACUGGUUUUGUGUCAGGGUACAGAUUUUACAAUGAACUUCAAGUGGUGAUCCAACACAAUACCACAAAUGCUUGGUCUUUAGUGUUCGCUCUCUAAAUAUUUCUGGAAUGUUGAGGGUUUCAUGCUUUCGGACACAAAACAUUUUGCUUGAGUAAUCAAUUAUUAAUAUAAUUUUGGCCAGAAGUUUGAGAACAUUUGGUUCUUGCAUUGUUUAUGCAGAUAUAUACUCACACAUAUAAACAAACAGGCACACUUAUCCAUCUUUUGUUCAGUUUAUGCUGGGCUGCACUGACAGGAUGCAAAACUGUAUCUGAUAAAAUGUAUAAUGUUAAUUACUCAUAAAUAAAAAUACUGCUAUAAAUACAUGUUGUAUAC
This 1754-nucleotide long non-coding RNA is filed under the name Sinocyclocheilus anshuiensis. RNAcentral's name for it is "lncRNA (ENSSANG00000016292.1)". The record is from RNAcentral. Lineage: Eukaryota; Metazoa; Chordata; Actinopteri; Cypriniformes; Cyprinidae.